UGAAUACGAGACGCUACGGCGUCGAAGCAGUCUAUGUCAUACUUCCAAGAAAAGCUUGCACUGUCAUAAACAAAUGAUGCCUGUACCAUAACCGACACAGGUGGGUAGGUAGAGUAUACUAAGGGGCGCGAGAUAACUCUCUCUAAGGAACUCGGCAAAAUGACUCCGUAACUUCGGGAGAAGGAGUGCCUUAUUUAUAAGGUUGCAAUAACAAGAUCCAAGCAACUGUUUAUCAAAAACACAGGUCUCCGCUAAGUCGUAAGACGAUGUAUGGGGGCUGACGCCUGCCCAGUGCCAGAAGGUUAAAGAAGUUGGUUAGCAUUAGCGAAGCUGAUAACUGAAGCCCUGGUGAACGGCGGCCGUAACUAUAACGGUCCUAAGGUAGCGAAAUUCCUUGUCGGGUAAGUUCCGACCCGCACGAAAGGCGUAAUGAUUUGGAUACUGUCUCGGAGAGGGGCUCGGUGAAAUAGACUUGUCUGUGAAGAUGCGGACUACCUGCACCUGGACAGAAAGACCCUAUGAAGCUUUACUGUAACCUGAAAUUGAAAUUGGACUUUAUUUGCGCAGUAUAGGUGGGAGGCGUUGAGAAUAUUCUUGCGGGAAUAUUGGAGCCAUCAGUGAGAUACCACUCUUGUAAUGUUAGAUUUCUAACUUUGAAUCAUUAUCUGGUCAAAGAACAGUUUCAGGCGGGCAGUUUGACUGGGGCGGUCGCCUCCUAAAUGGUAACGGAGGCGCACAAAGGUUUCCUCUGAACGGGUAGAAAUCGUAUCUAGAGUGUAAAGGCAUAAGGAAGCUUGACUGUGAGACCUACAAGUCGAGCAGGGACGGAAGUCGGUCUUAGUGAUCUGACGGUGCUGAGUGGAAAGGCCGUCACUCAACGGAUAAAAGUUACUCUAAGGAUAACAGGCUGAUCUCCCCCAAGAGUUCACAUCGACGGGGAGGUUUGGCACCUCGAUGUCGGCUCAUCGCAUCCUGGGGCGGUAGUACGUCCCAAGGGUUGGGCUGUUCGCCCAUGAAAGCGGUACGCGAGCUGGGUUCAGAACGUCGUGAGACAGUUCGGUCCAUAUCCGGUGUAGGCGUUAGAAUAUUGAGAGGAGCCUUCUUUAGUACGAGAGGACCGAGAAGGACAUACCUCUGGUGUACCAGUUAUCGUGCCAACGGUAAACGCUGGGUAGCUAUGUAUGGAGAGGAUAACCGCUGAAAGCAUCUAAGUGGGAAGCCCACCUCAAGAUAAGUAUUCGC
Molecule: ribosomal RNA, 1242 nt
Filed under: metagenome
Description: bacterial LSU rRNA
Rfam family: Bacterial large subunit ribosomal RNA
Source: RNAcentral